AAGUCGUAACAAGGUUUCCGUAGGUGAACCUGCGGAAGGAUCAUUACAGAGUUCAUGCCCUAACGGGUAGAUCUCCCACCCUUGUGUGAUAUAAUUAUCUGUUGCUUUGGCGGGUCGCAAGUUCGCUUGCCCUGUGUAUCCGCCAGAGGACCAAUAAAUUCUGAAUGUUAAUGUCGUCUGAGUACUAUAUAAUAGUUAAAA
RNAcentral lists this unclassified non-coding RNA (201 nucleotides) under plant metagenome. RNAcentral describes it as "partial contains small subunit ribosomal RNA and internal transcribed spacer 1". The stretch from base 1 to 46 matches the Rfam family "Eukaryotic small subunit ribosomal RNA", at positions 1786 to 1831 of the family's 1831-position model. The record is from RNAcentral.